GAAACAGUGGCUAAGACUGGAUAGGAAGAUAAAAGGCAUCUUUUAUCUUUUAAAAGACCUAGUAAUAGGUAUGCUUUAGGAGGGGCUUGCGCCAUAUUAGUUAGUUGGUAGGGUAAUGGCCUACCAAGACGAUGAUGUGUAGCUGGACUGAGAGGUUGAACAGCCACAUUGGGACUGAGACACGGCCCAAACUCCUACGGGAGGCAGCAGUAGGGAAUUUUCGGCAAUGGAGGAAACUCUGACCGAGCAACGCCGCGUGAAUGACGAAGUACUUCGGUAUGUAAAGUUCUUUUAUCAAGGAAGAAAAGCAAAUGGCGAACCAUUUGUUUGCCGGUACUUGAUGAAUAAGCCCCGGCUAAUUAUGUGCCAGCAGCCGCGGUAAGACAUAAGGGGCAAGUGUUAUCCGGAAUUAUUGGGCGUAAAGGGUGCGUAGGCGGUCUAGUAAGUCAGUGGUGUAAUGGCAACGCUUAACGUUGUCCGGCUAUUGAAACUGCUAAACUUGAGUUAGAUAGAGGCGAGUGGAAUUCCAUGUGUAGCGGUAAAAUGCGUAAAUAUAUGGAGGAACACCAGAGGCGUAGGCGGCUCGCUGGGUCUUAACUGACGCUGAGGCACGAAAGCGUGGGGAGCAAACAGGAUUAGAUACCCUGGUAGUCCACGCCGUAAACGAUGAGUACUAAGUGUCGGGUUAAACCGGUACUGAAGUUAACACAUUAAGUACUCCGCCUGAGUAGUACGUACGCAAGUAUGAAACUUAAAGGAAUUGACGGGACUCCGCACAAGCGGUGGAUCAUGUUGUUUAAUUCGAAGAUACCCGAAAAACCUUACCAGGUCUUGACAUGUUUUUGCAAAAUGAUAGUAAUAUCGUGGAGGUUACCAGAAACACAGGUGGUGCAUGGUUGUCGUCAGCUCGUGUCGUGAGAUGUUAGGUUAAGUCCUAAAACGAGCGAAACCCUUAUCGUUAGUUGCCAGCACGUUAUGGUGGGGACUUUAACGAGACUGCCAAUGAUAAAUUGGAGGAAGGUGAGGAUCACGUCAAAUCAGCAUGCCCCUUAUGACCUGGGCUACAAACGUGAUACAAUGGCUGUUACAAAGGGUAGCUGAAACGCAAGUUCUUGGCCAAUCCCCAAAAACAGUCCCAGUCCGGAUUGAAGUCUGCAACUCGACUUCAUGAAGUUGGAAUCGCUAGUAAUCGCGAAUCAGCAUGUCGCGGUGAAUACGUUCUCGGGGUUUGUACACACCGCCCGUCAAUC
RNAcentral lists this ribosomal RNA (1250 nucleotides) under Candidatus Phytoplasma citri. RNAcentral's name for it is "bacterial SSU rRNA". It matches the Rfam family "Bacterial small subunit ribosomal RNA", at positions 153 to 1402 of the family's 1533-position model. Lineage: Bacteria; Bacillati; Mycoplasmatota; Mollicutes; Acholeplasmatales; Acholeplasmataceae. The record is from RNAcentral.